Ficedula albicollis (Collared flycatcher) is the source of this 87-nucleotide microRNA precursor. It matches the Rfam family "mir-191 microRNA precursor family". The record is from Rfam. NCBI's taxonomy places the organism in Eukaryota, Metazoa, Chordata, Aves, Passeriformes, Muscicapidae.
GGCGCCAGCGCGGGCAACGGAAUCCCAAAAGCAGCUGUCCCCGCUGUGCCCAGCUGCCCUGGGGUUUCGUUACCCGCGCUCCCGCCA